AGAACGAACGCUGGCGGCAGGCCUCAAACAUGCAAGUCUAGGGGAUGUAGCAAUACAUCACCGGCGGACGGGUGCGUAACACGUGGGAAUAUACCUUUCGGUACGGAACAACUGCGGGAAACUGCAGCUAAUACCGUAUACGUCCUUACGGAGAAAGAUUUAUCGCCGAAGGAUUAGCCCGCGUUCGAUUAGCUAGUUGGUGAGGUAAUGGCUCACCAAGGCGACGAUCGAUAGCUGUUCUGAGAGGAAGAUCAGCCACACUGGGACUGAGACACGGCCCAGACCCCUACGGGAGGCAGCAGUGGGGAAUAUUGGACAAUGGGCGCAAGCCUGAUCCAGCAAUGCCGCGUGGUGAAGAAGGUCUUCGGAUUGUAAAGCCCUUUCGACGGGACGAUGAUGACGGUACCGUAGAAGAAGCCCCGGCUAACUUCGUGCCAGCAGCCGC
RNAcentral lists this ribosomal RNA (445 nucleotides) under uncultured bacterium. RNAcentral's name for it is "SSU rRNA". It matches the Rfam family "Bacterial small subunit ribosomal RNA", at positions 26 to 518 of the family's 1533-position model. The record is from RNAcentral.